UACGGGGGGGGCAAGCGUUGUUCGGAAUUACUGGGCGUAAAGGGUGCGUAGGUGGCGCUGUAAGUGGGGUGUGAAAUCCCGGGGCUUAACCCCGGGACUGCAUUCCAUACUGCGGUGCUUGAGGACUGGAGAGGAGACUGGAAUUUACGGUGUAGCAGUGAAAUGCGUAGAGAUCGUAAGGAAGACCAGUGGCGAAGGCGGGUCUCUGGACAGUUCCUGACACUGAGGCACGAAGGCCAGGGGAGCAAACGGG
Molecule: ribosomal RNA, 253 nt
Filed under: uncultured bacterium
Lineage: Bacteria
Description: partial 16S ribosomal RNA
Rfam family: Bacterial small subunit ribosomal RNA
Source: RNAcentral